GCCAGACUCCUACGGGAGGCAGCAGUGAGGAAUAUUGGUCAAUGGCCGCAGGGUUGAACCAGCCAAGUCGCGUGAGGGAUGACGGUCCUAUGGAUUGUAAACCUCUUUUGUCAGGGAGCAAAGGGCGCCACGUGUGGCGCUUUGCGAGUACCUGAAGAAAAAGCAUCGGCUAACUCCGUGCCAGCAGCCGCGGUAAUACGGAGGAUGCGAGCGUUAUCCGGAUUUAUUGGGUUUAAAGGGUGCGCAGGCGGAAUGUCAAGUCAGCGGUAAAAUUUCGGGGCUCAACCCCGUCGUGCCGUUGAAACUGGCGUUCUUGAAUGAGCGAGAAGUAUGCGGAAUGCGUGGUGUAGCGGUGAAAUGCAUAGAUAUCACGCAGAACUCCGAUUGCGAAGGCAGCAUACCGGCGCUCAACUGACGCUCAUGCACGAAAGCGUGGGUAUCGAACAGGAUUAGAUACCCUUGUAAU
Molecule: ribosomal RNA, 466 nt
Filed under: uncultured bacterium
Lineage: Bacteria
Description: bacterial SSU rRNA
Rfam family: Bacterial small subunit ribosomal RNA
Source: RNAcentral